RNAcentral lists this long non-coding RNA (581 nucleotides) under Musa acuminata (dwarf banana). Its description in RNAcentral is "long non-coding RNA (MACU_LNC006774)". The record is from RNAcentral. Lineage: Eukaryota; Viridiplantae; Streptophyta; Magnoliopsida; Zingiberales; Musaceae.
ACAUAUUCUUUUGAGAGUAGUAGGGCACACUGAAAAGAAGCCAAAAAUAUCGGUCUUAACAACAUCAGACACCUUAUAUUCAAGGCAGGUAAUCCUAUUAUCACUGAAAAGCAUUUUUUCAUGAUGCCAUGGUGGAACCAAUCAAAUCUAAAUAAUCUGUUUUGUGAUGUUCUUAAUAUGAAUUAAAAGGCUAGAAGUGCAAUUCGCUUAUAGUUGGACAAGGUAAAAGAAGAGAAGGAAACCAUGUAAAAUUUAAAAGCAUUCGAAAAUGACGAGGGGAAUCAAGAAGUGGCAAAUGCAAGUUCAUAGGUAGGAAUAGUCGUAGAUAUCUGCAUGUUCGACAGGAAUACUUCAUAACAAGAUUAAAUUUCAUUAUCUUAUUCUUUUGUGUUAAAGCAAAUAAUGACGUCCUCAAAAUUUAUUAACACCGGAAACAUAUCAUGUUCGCAUGUAGAUCCAAAGUGACUAAUUCACUUCCAAAAGAUAGAACGAAGAAGUCACGAUAAUAUUACCUCCAAGGCUUCUGGCUGCAUCUUUUAGGCUGCCGGCAAAAUAUUUCUGAAGCUCUUGCAAACUGACAG